GAUGAACGCUGGCGGCGUGCCUAAUACAUGCAAGUCGAGCGAACGGACGAGAAUCUUGCUUCUCUGAUGUUAGCGGCGGACGGGUGAGUAACACGUGUAUAACCUACCUAUAAGACUGGGAUAACUUCGGGAAACCGGAGCUAAUACCGGAUGAUAUUUUGAACCGCAGGGUUCAAAAGUGAAAGACGGUCUUGCUGUCACUUAUAGAUGGAUCCGCGCUGCAUUGGCUAGUUGGGAAGGUAACGGCUUACCAAGGCAACGAUGCAUAGCCGACCUGAGGGUGUGAUCGGCCACCAUGGAACUGAGACACGGUCCAGACUCCUACGGGAGGCAGCAGUAGGGAAUCUUCCGCAAUGGGCGGAAGCCUGACGGAGCAACGCCGCGUGAGAUAUGAAGGUCUUCGGAUCGUAAAAAUCUGUUAUUAGGGAAGAACAUAUGUGUAAGUAACUGUGCACAUCUUGACGGUACCUAAUCAGAAAGCCACGGCUAACUACGUG
Molecule: ribosomal RNA, 497 nt
Filed under: uncultured bacterium
Lineage: Bacteria
Description: partial 16S ribosomal RNA
Rfam family: Bacterial small subunit ribosomal RNA
Source: RNAcentral